UACGAAGGGGGCUAGCGUUGCUCGGAAUUACUGGGCGUAAAGGGAGCGUAGGCGGAUAGUUUAGUCAGAGGUGAAAGCCCAGGGCUCAACCUUGGAAUUGCCUUUGAUACUGGCUAUCUUGGGUACGGAAGAGGUAUGUGGAACUCCGAGUGUAGAGGUGAAAUUCGUAGAUAUCUGGAGGAACACCGGUGGCGAAGGCGGCAUCCUGGACCGGCAUUGACGCUGAGGCGCGAAAGCUAGGGGAGCAAACGGG
Molecule: ribosomal RNA, 253 nt
Filed under: uncultured bacterium
Lineage: Bacteria
Description: partial 16S ribosomal RNA
Rfam family: Bacterial small subunit ribosomal RNA
Source: RNAcentral